GUUGAACGCUGGCGGCAGGCCUAACACAUGCAAGUCGAGCGGGGACUUCGGUCCUAGCGGCGAACGGGUGAGUAAUGCUUGGGAAUCUGCCCAGUAGUGGGGGAUAACGUCCCGAAAGGGACGCUAAUACCGCAUACGUCCUACGGGAGAAAGAGGGGGAUCUUCGGACCUCUCGCUAUUGGAUGAGCCCAAGUCGGAUUAGCUAGUUGGUAGGGUAAUGGCCUACCAAGGCGACGAUCCGUAGCUGGUCUGAGAGGAUGAUCAGCCGCACUGGAACUGAGACACGGUCCAGACUCCUACGGGAGGCAGCAGUGGGGAAUAUUGGACAAUGGGCGAAAGCCUGAUCCAGCCAUGCCGCGUGUGUGAAGAAGGCCUUCGGGUUGUAAAGCACUUUAAGCGGGGAGGAAGGUUCGCGGCCUAAUACGUCGCGGAAUUGACGUUACCCGCAGAAUAAGCACCGGCUAACUCUGUG
This 472-nucleotide ribosomal RNA is filed under the name uncultured bacterium. RNAcentral's name for it is "partial 16S ribosomal RNA". It matches the Rfam family "Bacterial small subunit ribosomal RNA", at positions 28 to 507 of the family's 1533-position model. The record is from RNAcentral.